UACAGAGGGGGCCAGCGUUAUUCGGAAUUAUUGGGCGUAAAGGGCGCGUAGGCGGAUUGUUAAGUCAGGGGUGAAAUCCUGGAGCUCAACUCCAGAACUGCCUUUGAUACUGGCGAUCUCGAGUCCGGGAGAGGUGAGUGGAACUGCGAGUGUAGAGGUGAAAUUCGUAGAUAUUCGCAAGAACACCAGUGGCGAAGGCGGCUCACUGGCCCGGUACUGACGCUGAGGUGCGAAAGCGUGGGGAGCAAACAGG
Molecule: ribosomal RNA, 253 nt
Filed under: uncultured bacterium
Lineage: Bacteria
Description: partial 16S ribosomal RNA
Rfam family: Bacterial small subunit ribosomal RNA
Source: RNAcentral